Molecule: transfer RNA, 70 nt
Filed under: Liposcelis decolor
Lineage: Eukaryota; Metazoa; Arthropoda; Insecta; Psocodea; Liposcelididae
Description: tRNA-Tyr
Source: RNAcentral
AACAUGAUAGCUUCUAAGGCAGAGAAACUGUAAAUUUCUUCAUGAAAGGUGGAAGACCUUUCUUAUGUUA